RNAcentral lists this long non-coding RNA (210 nucleotides) under Nicotiana benthamiana. Its description in RNAcentral is "long non-coding RNA (NBEN_LNC017486)". Lineage: Eukaryota; Viridiplantae; Streptophyta; Magnoliopsida; Solanales; Solanaceae. The record is from RNAcentral.
UGGAAUCUUAUCUGCUGAAAUAAUCUGCAUUAACUUUUCCUUGUAUCAUCUAUUGCAGAGUGCUCGCCUUUACCAUUGUAAGUAUACAGACACACAUAAAAACACACAUUUAGAAAGUGAAGAGCCCUUUACGUACCAAACUUAAAGACCAAUAUGAUCCUUUACACCGAACUCAUACAGAAUAAAUGAAAAAUACUAUUUAGAACUACC